This is a long non-coding RNA of Ailuropoda melanoleuca (giant panda), 180 nucleotides long. RefSeq lists it as uncharacterized. The transcript is spliced from 3 exons. The record is from RefSeq and is a predicted model, not a curated record. Lineage: Eukaryota; Metazoa; Chordata; Mammalia; Carnivora; Ursidae.
GCAUCUGUGAUCUGCAUACUGAUUCAGCUGAGAUUUGACCUUCUGGGCGGAGAAAAACAAGAAUCCCAGGACACACUUUCGAGAUUCGAGCCAAGAGGCAUAAUGGUCCCUCCGGGCACCCACGUUGCAAGCGCGUUCUUUGUGCUUUCUGUUCUAGCAGCACCCGACUCCCACUCCUUC